RNAcentral lists this ribosomal RNA (492 nucleotides) under uncultured bacterium. Its description in RNAcentral is "partial 16S ribosomal RNA". It matches the Rfam family "Bacterial small subunit ribosomal RNA", at positions 29 to 507 of the family's 1533-position model. The record is from RNAcentral.
AGUGAACGCUGGCGGUAGGCCUAACACAUGCAAGUCGAACGGCAGCACAGUAAGAGCUUGCUCUUACGGGUGGCGAGUGGCGGACGGGUGAGGAAUACAUCGGAAUCUACUUUUUCGUGGGGGAUAACGUAGGGAAACUUACGCUAAUACCGCAUACGACCUACGGGUGAAAGCAGGGGAUCUUCUGACCUUGCGCGAUUGAAUGAGCCUAUGUCGGAUUAGCUAGUUGGCGGGGUAAAGGCCCACCAAGGCGACGAUCCGUAGCUGGUCUGAGAGGAUGAAGAGGCAAAAUUGAACUGAGACAAGGUCCCAAAUCAUGAGGGAGGGAAGAAUGGGGAAAAAUGGGAAAUGGGCGCAAGCCUGAUCCAGCCAUACCGCGUGGGUGAAGAAGGCCUUCGGGUUGUAAAGCCCUUUUGUUGGGAAAGAAAAGAAGCAGGUUAAUACCCCGCUGUUCUGACGGUACCCAAAGAAUAAGCACCGGCUAACUUCGUG